This 481-nucleotide ribosomal RNA is filed under the name uncultured bacterium. Its description in RNAcentral is "partial 16S ribosomal RNA". It matches the Rfam family "Bacterial small subunit ribosomal RNA", at positions 28 to 507 of the family's 1533-position model. The record is from RNAcentral.
GACGAACGCUGGCGGCGUGCUUAACACAUGCAAGUCGAACGGGAUCCGGGCUUUCGGGUUUGGUGAGAGUGGCGAACGGGUGAGUAACACGUGAGUAACCUGCCCCCUUCUUUGGGAUAACGUCGGGAAAUCGGCGCUAAUACUGGAUAUUCUUGCUGCAUCGCAUGGUGUGGUUUGGAAAGGGUUUCUGGUGGGGGAUGGGCUCGCGGCCUAUCAGCUUGUUGGUGGGGUGAUGGCCUACCAAGGCUUUGACGGGUAGCCGGCCUGAGAGGGUGUCCGGCCACACUGGGACUGAGACACGGCCCAGACUCCUACGGGAGGCAGCAGUGGGGAAUAUUGCACAAUGGGCGCAAGCCUGAUGCAGCGACGCCGCGUGAGGGAUGACGGCCUUCGGGUUGUAAACCUCUUUCAGUAUGGAACAAGGAUCCUUCUUCUGGGGGGUUUGAGGGUACGUGCAGAAGAAGCGCCGGCUAACUACGUG